Molecule: long non-coding RNA, 787 nt
Organism: Beta vulgaris subsp. vulgaris (sugar beet)
Lineage: Eukaryota; Viridiplantae; Streptophyta; Magnoliopsida; Caryophyllales; Amaranthaceae
Exons: 3
Source: RefSeq, a predicted model, not a curated record
AGGUGACGGAGAAACUCACGGCAAGUUUCAACGCGGUCCUUACGGAGUAUGGUUUACCGGCGUUACGUCAACCUAAACUGGAUCGUCCUUUGGAGGACAAAGCUAGCCAUCCUAACACACAAAAAUCAGCACCGUCUAUACUUGAGUUAGAGGAAGAAACGCCUUGCCAGCUUUUACUAGAUGUAAAAGAUGCGGGUUUGAUUGUGGUGGCUGAAGGAAAUGCACAACCACGAAGUGAACGAGCAACAGUCCAUCAUCAAUCGUUGGACAAUGAUCACUUGGCGGUUAGUGUAGUCUCGAUCACUCCUGGUUACGAAGACUUUUCUCUCCCAUUGCCUAACCCGUCGACGGAUACAAAUGUCUUGACCGACGCUCGUGGUGGUUAUGUGCUCUGGCCAUCGGCAUGGGUGAGGUUUUCAGACGAGGUUUUGGAGAGAAUAAAGAAGCCUAACGAAAGCAAGGCGGACUCACCUCCUCUACAAAAGGCGAAGGAAAAGGAGGGUUCAAGCAAGCCAAAGAAGGCGAUUUGGGGAAGGAACGCAAGUCUCCAAAGGUUCAAGUCCCAAACAAAACCCUCCUAAACCUACUUGGAUCGAGUCAUCAACGCUUCAAGGUCUCAGUAAGGCAUGCUCGUGGCUACAUGCAAAUAUGCGUGAUAUGCCGGAUGAUACACCUUUGGAGGUUAAGUUGGAUGCCACGGAAUUCAACUACCACGAGGAAGCGUCGACAUGGGUGUCCAAGGAUGAUGUGAAAGAGUUCCUUUGCGGAGAUAUGUUGAAUGUUUCGU